Long non-coding RNA from Sapajus apella (tufted capuchin), 304 nucleotides. RefSeq lists it as uncharacterized. The record is from RefSeq and is a predicted model, not a curated record. The transcript has 2 exons. NCBI's taxonomy places the organism in Eukaryota, Metazoa, Chordata, Mammalia, Primates, Cebidae.
CCUGACGUCCCCUGGUGGUCUCGGGGACCCCUGCAGGAGGUUUGUGUCCGGGCUCACACUGACUUCCCCUCACUGUCUCUCACACAGUAAUACACGGCCGUGUCCUCGGCUCUCAGGCUGUUCAUCUGCAGAUAGAGAGAGUUCUUGGCGUUGUCUCUGGAGAUGGUGAAUCAGCCCUUCACGGAGUCUGCGUAGUAUGUGCUACCAUCACUACUACUAAUGUAUGAGACCCACUCCAGCCCCUUCCCUGGAGCCUGGCGGACCCAGCUCAUGUCAUAGUUACUGAAGGUGAAACCAGAGGCUG